This 250-nucleotide ribosomal RNA is filed under the name uncultured bacterium. Its description in RNAcentral is "partial 16S ribosomal RNA". It matches the Rfam family "Bacterial small subunit ribosomal RNA", at positions 524 to 773 of the family's 1533-position model. The record is from RNAcentral.
GACGAACCGUCCAAACGUUAUUCGGUAUCACUGGGCUUAAAGAGUUCGUAGGCGGCCCGACAGGUGAGGUGUGAAAUCCCUCGGCUCAACCGAGGAAUUGCGCUUCAAACCGUCAGGCUUGAGGGAGAUAGAGGUGAGCGGAACAGAUGGUGGAGCGGUGAAAUGCGUUGAUAUCAUCUGGAACACCGGUGGCGAAAGCGGCUCACUGGAUCUUUUCUGACGCUGAGGAACGAAAGCUAGGGUAGCGAAC